UACGUAGGGUGCGAGCGUUAUUCGGAAUUACUGGGCGUAAAGCGCACGUAGGCGGCUUUUUAAGUCAGGGGUGAAAUCCUGGAGCUCAACUCCAGAACUGCCUUUGAUACUGAGAAGCUUGAGUCCGGGAGAGGUAAGUGGAAUUCCGAGUGUAGAGGUGAAAUUCGUAGAUAUUCGCAAGAACACCAGUGGCGAAGGCGGCUCACUGGCCCGAUACUGACGCUGAGGCACGAAAGCGUGGGGAGCAAACAGG
This 253-nucleotide ribosomal RNA is filed under the name uncultured bacterium. RNAcentral's name for it is "partial 16S ribosomal RNA". It matches the Rfam family "Bacterial small subunit ribosomal RNA", at positions 524 to 776 of the family's 1533-position model. The record is from RNAcentral.